Molecule: ribosomal RNA, 499 nt
Filed under: uncultured bacterium
Lineage: Bacteria
Description: partial 16S ribosomal RNA
Rfam family: Bacterial small subunit ribosomal RNA
Source: RNAcentral
GACGAACGCUGGCGGCGUGCCUAAUACAUGCAAGUCGAGCGAAGUUUUUCUGGUGCUUGCCCUAGAAAAACUUAGCGGCGAACGGGUGAGUCACACGUAAAGAACCUGCCUCAUAGACUGGGACAACUAUUGGAAACGAUAGCUAAUACCGGAUAACAGUAUUUCUCGCAUGAGAGAUAUUUAAAAGUUGGUUAUGCUAACACUAUGAGAUGGCUUUGCGGUGCAUUAGCUAGUUGGUGGGGUAAAGGCCCACCAAGGCGACGAUGCAUAGCCGACCUGAGAGGGUGAUCGGCCACACUGGGACUGAGACACGGCCCAGACUCCUACGGGAGGCAGCAGUAGGGAAUCUUCCGCAAUGGGCGAAAGCCUGACGGAGCAACGCCGCGUGAGUGAAGAAGGAUUUCGGUUCGUAAAGCUCUGUUGUUAGGGAAGAAUGGAUAUGUAGUAACUAUACAUGUAAGAGACGGUACCUAACCAGAAAGCCACGGCUAACUACGUG